Molecule: transfer RNA, 72 nt
Filed under: Filobasidium floriforme
Lineage: Eukaryota; Fungi; Basidiomycota; Tremellomycetes; Filobasidiales; Filobasidiaceae
Also listed under: 2 other names
Rfam family: tRNA
About the family: Transfer RNA (tRNA) molecules are approximately 80 nucleotides in length. Their secondary structure includes four short double-helical elements and three loops (D, anti-codon, and T loops).
Source: Rfam by way of RNAcentral
GCACUCUUAGCACAAUGGUUAGGGCAGCUGUCUUCGAAACAGUAGAUAUUGGUUCGAUUCCAGUAGAGUGUU